Molecule: small nucleolar RNA, 83 nt
Organism: Manihot esculenta (cassava)
Lineage: Eukaryota; Viridiplantae; Streptophyta; Magnoliopsida; Malpighiales; Euphorbiaceae
Product: small nucleolar RNA Z159/U59
Exons: 1
Source: RefSeq, a predicted model, not a curated record
GCCUCUGAGGAUGAUAAGUAGAAUACUUUCGUUCUUCUGAGAUUUUCCAUGCGGAACCUUUUGGAGACCUGAACUGAAGAGGC